RNAcentral lists this ribosomal RNA (1446 nucleotides) under uncultured bacterium. RNAcentral describes it as "bacterial SSU rRNA". It matches the Rfam family "Bacterial small subunit ribosomal RNA". The record is from RNAcentral.
UUGAACGCUGGCGGCAUGCUUUACACAUGCAAGUCGAACGGUAACAGGCCGCAAGGUGCUGACGAGUGGCGAACGGGUGAGUAAUGCAUCGGAACGUGCCCAGUCGUGGGGGAUAACGCAGCGAAAGCUGUGCUAAUACCGCAUACGAUCUAUGGAUGAAAGCGGGGGACCGUAAGGCCUCGCGCGAUUGGAGCGGCCGAUGUCAGAUUAGGUAGUUGGUGGGGUAAAGGCUCACCAAGCCAACGAUCUGUAGCUGGUCUGAGAGGACGACCAGCCACACUGGGACUGAGACACGGCCCAGACUCCUACGGGAGGCAGCAGUGGGGAAUUUUGGACAAUGGGCGCAAGCCUGAUCCAGCAAUGCCGCGUGCAGGAAGAAGGCCUUCGGGUUGUAAACUGCUUUUGUACGGAACGAAACGGUCUGGGUUAAUACCCUGGGCUAAUGACGGUACCGUAAGAAUAAGCACCGGCUAACUACGUGCCAGCAGCCGCGGUAAUACGUAGGGUGCAAGCGUUAAUCGGAAUUACUGGGCGUAAAGCGUGCGCAGGCGGUUUUGUAAGACAGGCGUGAAAUCCCCGGGCUCAACCUGGGAAUGGCGCUUGUGACUGCAAAGCUGGAGUGCGGCAGAGGGGGAUGGAAUUCCGCGUGUAGCAGUGAAAUGCGUAGAUAUGCGGAGGAACACCGAUGGCGAAGGCAAUCCCCUGGGCCUGCACUGACGCUCAUGCACGAAAGCGUGGGGAGCAAACAGGAUUAGAUACCCUGGUAGUCCACGCCCUAAACGAUGUCAACUGGUUGUUGGGUAUUUACUUACUCAGUAACGAAGCUAACGCGUGAAGUUGACCGCCUGGGGAGUACGGCCGCAAGGUUGAAACUCAAGGAAUUGACGGGGACCCGCACAAGCGGUGGAUGAUGUGGUUUAAUUCGAUGCAACGCGAAAAACCUUACCCACCUUUGACAUGUACGGAAUUUGCCAGAGAUGGCUUGUGCUCGAAAGAGAACCGUAACACAGUGCUGCAUGCUGUCGUCAGCUCGUGUCGUGAGAUGUGGGGUUAAGUCCCGCAACGAGCGCACCCUGCAUAGUUAGUUGCUACGAAAGGGCACUCUAAUGGGACUGCCGGUGACAAACCGGAGGAAGGUGGGGAUGACGUCAAGUCCUCAUGGCCCUUAUAGGUGGGGCUACACACGUCAUACAAUGGCCGGUACAAAGGGCAGCCAACCCGCGAGGGGGAGCCAAUCCCAUAAAGCCGGUCGUAGUCCGGAUCGCAGUCUGCAACUCGACUGCGUGAAGUCGGAAUCGCUAGUAAUCGUGGAUCAGCAUGUCACGGUGAAUACGUUCCCGGGUCUUGUACACACCGCCCGUCACACCAUGGGAGCGGGUCUCGCCAGAAGUAGUUAGCCUAACCGCAAGGAGGGCGAUUACCACGGCGGGGUUCGUGACUGGGGUG